CAAAAGCUUGGUCCUGACUUUACCGUCAGCUUUAACCUGAUUUACACAUGCAAGUAUCCGCACCCCUGUGAGAAUGCCCUCAUUCCCCCGCCCGGGGACGAGGAGCUGGCAUCAGGCACGCUCAAGCUGCCCAAGACGCCUUGCUUUGCCACACCCCCAAGGGAACUCAGCAGUGAUAAACAUUAGGCAUAUAAGUGCAAACUUGACCUAGUCAAGGUUAAUAGAGCCGGUUAAACUCGUGCCAGCCACCGCGGUUAUACGAGAGGCUCUAGUUGACGAACUACGGCGUAAAGCGUGGUCACGGAGAGCAAUCAAUACUAAAGCCAAACGCCUCCCAGGCUGUCAUACGCAUCCGGAGGUACGAAGCCCAAUAACGAAAGUAGCUUUAUUACCGCCAACCUGACCCCACGACAACUGAGAAACAAACUGGGAUUAGAUACCCCACUAUGCUCAGUCGUAAACUUAGGUAUUCCUUUACCACCAAUACCCGCCUGGGAACUACGAGCGCUAGCUUAAAACCCAAAGGACUUGGCGGCACCUCAGACCCACCUAGAGGAGCCUGUUCUAGAACCGAUAAUCCCCGUUAAACCUCACCACUUCUUGUUAUCACAGCCUAUAUACCGCCGUCGUCAGCUUACCCUGUGAAGGAUGCCUAGUAAGCAAAAUGAGCAAGACUCAAAACGUCAGGUCGAGGUGUAGCGCAUGAAGUGGGAAGAAAUGGGCUACAUUUUCUACUCCAGAAUACUACGAAAGGCACCAUGAAAUAAGUACCCGAAGGUGGAUUUAGCAGUAAAAAGAAAAUAGAGAGUUCUUUUGAAUCCGGCUCUGAGGCGCGCACACACCGCCCGUCACUCUCCCCAACUCUAGGCCCAGAAAAUUGUAAACAGCCAGCAACCCUAGCCCCCAAGGGGAGGCAAGUCGUAACAUGGUAAGUGUACCGGAAGGUGCACUUGGAGUAAC
This is a non-coding RNA of Chanos chanos (milkfish), 960 nucleotides long. The record is from the annotation of a RefSeq genome assembly. NCBI's taxonomy places the organism in Eukaryota, Metazoa, Chordata, Actinopteri, Gonorynchiformes, Chanidae.